CGAACCCUUCGGGGUUAGUGGCGCACGGGUGCGUAACGCGUGGGAACCUGCCUUUAGGUUCGGAAUAACUCAGAGAAAUUUGAGCUAAUACCGGAUAAUGUCUUCGGACCAAAGAUUUAUCGCCUUUAGAUGGGCCCGCGUUAGAUUAGAUAGUUGGUGGGGUAAUGGCCUACCAAGUCGACGAUCUAUAGCUGGUCUGAGAGGAUGAUCAGCCACACUGGGACUGAGACACGGCCCAGACUCC
Molecule: ribosomal RNA, 244 nt
Filed under: uncultured bacterium
Lineage: Bacteria
Description: partial 16S ribosomal RNA
Rfam family: Bacterial small subunit ribosomal RNA
Source: RNAcentral